AAACACAUCAAACUACAUUUAGCACCAAACAAAUUCCAAACCCCAAACACAUGAAUAGCCCCCAAAAGAAAAUAACAAAACAAAACACAUUAAAUCACACAUAGAGAGUAUAAAUUAUAUAUAGAAGUUUAAAAUGUAUAAUAUUACUCAAUAUAAUAUAAUGAUCUAGAGGCAUUUCUGAGGGUGGAAAGCCAGUGGCCCGGCGGCGUAAACAGCGGCCCUAUAAUUGGUGCCGAC
This 237-nucleotide long non-coding RNA is filed under the name Cucumis sativus (cucumber). Its description in RNAcentral is "long non-coding RNA (CSAT_LNC001821)". The record is from RNAcentral. Lineage: Eukaryota; Viridiplantae; Streptophyta; Magnoliopsida; Cucurbitales; Cucurbitaceae.